RNAcentral lists this ribosomal RNA (1372 nucleotides) under uncultured marine bacterium. Its description in RNAcentral is "16S ribosomal RNA". It matches the Rfam family "Bacterial small subunit ribosomal RNA", at positions 30 to 1392 of the family's 1533-position model. The record is from RNAcentral.
UGAACGCUGGCGGUAUGCUUAACACAUGCAAGUCGAACGGAAACGAUACUAGCUUGCUAGUAGGCGUCGAGUGGCGGACGGGUGAGUAACGCGUAGGAAUCUACCUGAUAGUGGGGGAUAGCCCGAAGAAAUUCGGAUUAAUACCGCAUAAUCUAUUCGUAGUAAAGUGGGGGACUUUCGAGCCUCACGCUAUCAGAUGAGCCUGCGUAAGAUUAGCUAGUUGGUAGGGUAAAAGCCUACCAAGGCUACGAUCUUUAGCUGGUCUGAGAGGAUGAUCAGCCACAUCGGGACUGAGACACGGCCCGAACUCCUACGGGAGGCAGCAGUGGGGAAUAUUGGACAAUGGGGGCAACCCUGAUCCAGCAAUACCGCGUGUGUGAAGAAGGCCUGAGGGUUGUAAAGCACUUUCAAUUGUGAAGAAAAGCUAGUGGUUAAUAGCCAUUAGCCUUGACGUUAACUUUAGAAGAAGCACCGGCUAACUCCGUGCCAGCAGCCGCGGUAAUACGGAGGGUGCAAGCGUUAAUCGGAAUUACUGGGCGUAAAGCGUGCGUAGGCGGUUUAUUAAGUCAGAUGUGAAAGCCCCGGGCUUAACCUGGGAACUGCAUUUGAAACUGGUCAACUAGAGUAUGGUAGAGGAAAGUGGAAUUUCUGGUGUAGCGGUGAAAUGCGUAGAUAUCAGAAAGGAACAUCAAUGGCGAAGGCAACUUUCUGGACCAAUACUGACGCUGAGGUACGAAAGCGUGGGUAGCAAACAGGAUUAGAUACCCUGGUAGUCCACGCCGUAAACGAUGAUAACUAGCCGUUGGGGGGAUUUACCCCUUAGUGGCGAAGCUAACGCGUUAAGUUAUCCGCCUGGGGAGUACGGCCGCAAGGUUAAAACUCAAAGGAAUUGACGGGGACCCGCACAAGCGGUGGAGCAUGUGGUUUAAUUCGAUGCAACGCGAAGAACCUUACCUGGUCUUGACAUCCUGAGAACUUUCUAGAAAUAGAUUGGUGCCUUCGGGAACUCAGUGACAGGUGCUGCAUGGCUGUCGUCAGCUCGUGUCGUGAGAUGUUGGGUUAAGUCCCGUAACGAGCGCAACCCCUAUCCUUAUUUGCCAGCACAUCAUGGUGGGAACUAUAAGGAGACUGCCGGUGAUAAACCGGAGGAAGGCGGGGACGACGUCAAGUCAUCAUGGCCCUUACGACCAGGGCUACACACGUGCUACAAUGGGAAGGACAAAGAGCCGCGAAGCCGCGAGGUGUAGCUAAUCUCAGAAACCUUUUCGUAGUCCGGAUUGGAGUCUGCAACUCGACUCCAUGAAGCCGGAAUCGCUAGUAAUCGUAGAUCAGAAUGCUACGGUGAAUACGUUCCCGGGUCUUGUACUCACCG